This 455-nucleotide ribosomal RNA is filed under the name uncultured bacterium. RNAcentral describes it as "bacterial SSU rRNA". It matches the Rfam family "Bacterial small subunit ribosomal RNA", at positions 923 to 1379 of the family's 1533-position model. The record is from RNAcentral.
GCACAAGCGGUGGAGCAUGUGGUUCAAUUCGACGCAACGCGAAGAACCUUACCCAGGCUUGAACAGCGAGUGACAAACUACGAAAGUGGUCUUCCGCAAGGACACUCGUAGAGGUGCUGCAUGGCUGUCGUCAGCUCGUGUCGUGAGAUGUUGGGUUAAGUCCCGCAACGAGCGCAACCCUUGUCUUCUGUUGCCAUCAGGUCAAGCUGGGCACUCUGGAGAGACUGCCGGUGAUAAACCGGAGGAAGGUGGGGAUGACGUCAAGUCAGCAUGGCCUUUAUGUCUGGGGCUACACACGUGCUACAAUGGCCGACACAAACCGUCGCAAAGCCGCGAGGUGGAGCUAAUCGGAUAAAGUCGGUCUCAGUUCGGAUAGCAGGCUGCAACUCGCCUGCUUGAAGUUGGAAUCGCUAGUAAUCGCGGAUCAGCACGCCGCGGUGAAUACGUUCCCGGGC